AAUGAACGUUGGCGGCAUGGAUUAGGCAUGCAAGUCGCGCGAUAAGAUUCCUUCGGGAAUCCGAAAGCGGCGAAAGGGAGAGUAACGCGUAGAUGAUCUACCCCGAGGACUGGGAUAGCGGCGGGAAACUGCCGGUAAUACCAGAUGAUGUCUCCGGACCAAAGGUGUGAUUCCGCCUUGGGAUGAAUCUGCGUCCUAUUAGCUAGUUGGUGAGGUAACGGCUCACCAAGGCGAAGAUGGGUACCGGGUGUGAGAGCAUGACCCGGCUCACUGGGACUGAGACACUGCCCAGACACCUACGGGUGGCUGCAGUCGAGAAUCUUCGGCAAUGGGCGAAAGCCUGACCGAGCAAUGCCGCGUGCGGGAUGAAGGCCUU
Molecule: ribosomal RNA, 376 nt
Filed under: uncultured bacterium
Lineage: Bacteria
Description: bacterial SSU rRNA
Rfam family: Bacterial small subunit ribosomal RNA
Source: RNAcentral